Regulatory RNA element from Bacillus sp. B-jedd, 92 nucleotides. It matches the Rfam family "c-di-GMP-I riboswitch aptamer". Rfam says of the family: GEMM was predicted in a large-scale screen for bacterial structured RNA regulatory elements. NCBI's taxonomy places the organism in Bacteria, Bacillati, Bacillota, Bacilli, Caryophanales, Bacillaceae. The record is from Rfam.
AACUGAAAAAGGCAAACCAUUUGAAAGGAUGGGACGCAAAGCCUAGGAGCCUGACACCGGAUUAACCCGGGAAUGGCCGUCCAGCUGCCAGA